CGCAAGAACCGCGCGAUAAAACGAACGGACAAAGAAGUGGUCUUUGUUAUGUGAGCUUCUACAGUGGCGGCCCGGUAUCGCCAGUCUCACUACAGGCUCCUCGUAUGGAACAGCCUGGACAUGACCGACUGGUUUCAGUCAGACCCGCGACAGACACUGAGAAGAAACUGUUGAGCGUUAUCAGCGGGCUGUCUGCCAGAGAGCACCGCUGGAGGAGAAGCUGGAGGAGAAGCUGGAGCACAGGCUGGAGCAGUGUCUGAGCUGCAGGAGAGGAUGUCCGCUAUGGAAGCCCAAAUAAACACUUUAUCCAGCACGAGGGCGUUGAGGAAAUUCAGCGGAAAAGAGGAGAGCACAGUCCUAAAAUUGUGCCGCUUGUAAAACCCAUUACUCUGCGCAGGAAUUUCCGCUGUAGUCAACCCAACAUAGUGGAUCAGGCGGAGGCGAUUAAGUUAUCUGCCCGGAGUCAGCAGAGAAGAAAGAGACUGCUUGAUGCCAGGAAGACGGUCCUUGCUCCAGACGAAGAGGAGUUCUGGACUGGUAUCACAGCGGACAUGAUGUCGGAUGAGGAGGACGGCAGAGUAGAUGGCGUACAUGGAUGGAUUGUGUGGCCUCCAUCCUUCCGCAGCCAGGAGCUUUCCAACUUGUGUGCUGCCCUACAGGCCAGGCUGGAAGCUGAUGGAAGGUAAACAGCUCUUCGUCACAGACGUUUUUACAAUGGACAGCCAUCUGAAAGACUGAAGCCAUUGAAAUACGACAGGGCAGCAGCCAGGAAACAUUUAAUUCCAGAGCUGAUGCCUGAGACCAGCCCGGAGUGACAGAUCAACUAUGUUUUUCUUUUUGUUUUGCAAUGUAUAUAUUUUUUGAAACUUUGAACAAUUCUAUUUCAUUUUUUCAUUUUAAUUUUUUUGUAUAUUUUUUUAAAGAACAGCUUAUUUUAAUUUUGAUUUUGGAUUACUGAAACUGUAGACUGUUCAAUAAAGCGCUUGUUUGUCAAAAUGUCUCAAAAUGUCAU
Long non-coding RNA from Acanthochromis polyacanthus (spiny chromis), 1012 nucleotides. RefSeq lists it as uncharacterized. The record is from RefSeq and is a predicted model, not a curated record. The transcript is spliced from 3 exons. Lineage: Eukaryota; Metazoa; Chordata; Actinopteri; Pomacentridae.